RNAcentral lists this ribosomal RNA (409 nucleotides) under Fusobacteriota bacterium. Its description in RNAcentral is "Fusobacteria bacterium partial 16S ribosomal RNA". It matches the Rfam family "Bacterial small subunit ribosomal RNA", at positions 355 to 776 of the family's 1533-position model. Lineage: Bacteria; Fusobacteriati; Fusobacteriota. The record is from RNAcentral.
UGGGGAAUAUUGCACAAUGGAGGGAACUCUGAUGCAGCAACGCCGCGUGCGGGAUGACGGCCUUCGGGUUGUAAACCGCUAUCAGCCAUGACGAAGCUUUUGUGACGGUAGAGGUAGAAGAAGCACCGGCUAACUACGUGCCAGCAGCCGCGGUGAUACGUAGGGUGCGAGCGUUGUCCGGAAUUAUUGGGCGUAAAGAGCUUGUAGGCGGUUUGUCGCGUCGAUAGUGUAAACACGCAGCUUAACUGUGUGCCUGCUGUCGAUACGGGCUGACUAGAGGAGGGUAGGGGAGAAUGGAAUUCCCGGUGGAGCGGUGGAAUGCGCAGAUAUCGGGAGGAACACCAGUGGCGAAGGCGGUUCUCUGGACCUUUCCUGACGCUGAGAAGCGAAAGCGUGGGUAGCAAACAGG